Molecule: ribosomal RNA, 118 nt
Filed under: Candidatus Levyibacteriota bacterium
Lineage: Bacteria; Candidatus Levyibacteriota
Source: RNAcentral
UCUGGUAAUUAGAGCGACGUGGAACUACCCUUUCCCAUUCCGAACAGGGAAGUAAAACGCGUCAGCGCUUACGAUACUUUUUGCGUAUUGCAGAAGGGACAAUAGGUCAUUGCCAGGG